GGAGUGUGUUUUUAAAGCUUAUGAACUCUGAUUUGCACAUAGAAGUGGCAAUAACAAAACGAAAACAAAGGAUAUCGGAGCAACAGUGACGCGACAGUGGCUAACCAGGUUAUCUGAAGUAGCUACACUUAUCUCGUGUGUUUUAUAUUUGUAUAUAAGUAUGUAUAUAUGGGAUUCAUGGAAUAUUCGCACUUAGGAAAAACUGUGUUGGGUUUGGAAUUUUGAAGAUUUAACAUUUAUUCGAAGUAAGUAGGUACAGAUUUAUUGUAGCGAAGCAAGUCCGAGGUUGGCUACUAUUCUCUCUUCUAAUGUCAAAGAAAUAUGAAUAAAACACGUCUGUACAAGCUUGGCUAACUUUUGAAUGGCUAAGUUAUGUA
This is a long non-coding RNA of Helicoverpa zea (corn earworm), 377 nucleotides long. RefSeq lists it as uncharacterized. The record is from RefSeq and is a predicted model, not a curated record. NCBI's taxonomy places the organism in Eukaryota, Metazoa, Arthropoda, Insecta, Lepidoptera, Noctuidae. The transcript has 3 exons.